This 229-nucleotide long non-coding RNA is filed under the name Anas platyrhynchos (mallard). RNAcentral's name for it is "lncRNA (ENSAPLG00020013268.1)". Lineage: Eukaryota; Metazoa; Chordata; Aves; Anseriformes; Anatidae. The record is from RNAcentral.
AGAACUUGGAUGUUUCUUGUGUAAUAAAUCAAAUAAUGUUGAACAAGUUGUGGAGUUGCUUCAUGUUAUGUUUUUUUUUUUUCCAGGCUUUGGAAUAAUCACUGUGAUGGGACAGGAAGCAGAAACAAAUGUAAAGCUGGAGGCAGGGACCUUGAAGGAGAUCAUGAAGACUUUGAGCAGACACGUUUCAGACAUGGGAGAGGAUGGCCGAAGAAUUUUUCAUUCAUAA